AGGCAUCUUUUUAUUUUUAAAAGACCUAGCAAUAGGUAUGCUUAGGGAAGAGCUUGCGUCACAUUAGUUAGUUGGUGGGGUAAUGGCCUACCAAGACGAUGAUGUGUAGCCGGGCUGAGAGGUCGAACGGCCACAUUGGGACUGAGACACGGCCCAAACUCCUACGGGAGGCAGCAGUAAGGAAUUUUCGGCAAUGGAGGAAACUCUGACCGAGCAAUGCCGCGUGAACGAUGAAGUAUUUCGGUACGUAAAGUUCUUUUAUUAGGGAAGAAAAGAUGGUGGAAAAACCAUUAUGACGGUACCUAAUGAAUAAGCCCCGGCUAACUAUGUGCCAGCAGCCGCGGUAAUACAUAGGGGGCAAGCGUUAUCCGGAAUUAUUGGGCGUAAAGGGUGCGUAGGCGGUUAAAUAAGUUUAUGGUCUAAGUGCAACGCUCAACGUUGUGAUGCUAUAAAAACUGUUUAGCUAGAGUUGGAUAGAGGCAAGUGGAAUUCCGUGUGUAGUGGUAAAAUGCGUAAAUAUACGGAGGAACACCAGAAGCGAAGGCGGCUUGCUGGGUCUUAACUGACGCUGAGGCACGAAAGCGUGGGGAGCAAACAGGAUUAGAUACCCUGGUAGUCCACGCCCUAAACGAUGAGUACUAAACGUUGGAUAAAACCAGUGUUGAAGUUAACACAUUAAGUACUCCGCCUGAGUAGUACGUACGCAAGUAUGAAACUUAAAGGAAUUGACGGGACUCCGCACAAGCGGUGGAUCAUGUUGUUUAAUUCGAAGGUACCCGAAAAACCUCACCAGGUCUUGACAUGCUUUUGCAAAGCUGUAGAAAUACAGUGGAGGUUAUCAGAAGCACAGGUGGUGCAUGGUUGUCGUCAGCUCGUGUCGUGAGAUGUUGGGUUAAGUCCCGCAACGAGCGCAACCCUUGUUGUUAAUUGCCAUCAUUAAGUUGGGGACUUUAGCAAGACUGCCAAUGAUAAAUUGGAGGAAGGUGGGGACGACGUCAAAUCAUCAUGCCCCUUAUGACCUGGGCUACAAACGUGAUACAAUGGCUGUUACAAAGGGUAGCUAAAGCGUAAGCUUCUGGCGAAUCUCAAAAAAGCAGUUUCAGUUCGGAUUGAAGUCUGCAACUCGACUUCAUGAAGUUGGAAUCGCUAGUAAUCGCGAAUCAGCAU
This 1167-nucleotide ribosomal RNA is filed under the name 'Capsicum sp.' phytoplasma. RNAcentral's name for it is "bacterial SSU rRNA". It matches the Rfam family "Bacterial small subunit ribosomal RNA", at positions 186 to 1355 of the family's 1533-position model. The record is from RNAcentral. Lineage: Bacteria; Bacillati; Mycoplasmatota; Mollicutes; Acholeplasmatales; Acholeplasmataceae.